AACCGAAAAUACAACACCAUACAGUGGAUCAUUUGGCUCAGGGGUCGAUGAAGAACGGAGCUAGCUCCGAGACGUAAUGUGAACUGCAGGACAUACGAAUAUCGACACUUUGAACGCAUAUUGCGGACGUGCACUUGUGCACGUCCAUGUUU
Molecule: ribosomal RNA, 152 nt
Filed under: Pseudodiaptomus marinus
Lineage: Eukaryota; Metazoa; Arthropoda; Copepoda; Calanoida; Pseudodiaptomidae
Description: partial 5.8S ribosomal RNA
Rfam family: 5.8S ribosomal RNA
About the family: 5.8S ribosomal RNA (5.8S rRNA) is a component of the large subunit of the eukaryotic ribosome. It is transcribed by RNA polymerase I as part of the 45S precursor that also contains 18S and 28S rRNA.
Source: RNAcentral